GCAAGUCGAACGAAGCAGCAGUGAAGGAGGCUCGGCCAAUGGAUCUGUUGACUUAGUGGCGGACGGGUGAGUAACGCGUGAGCAACCUGCCUUUCAGAGGGGGAUAACGUUUGGAAACGAACGCUAAUACCGCAUGACAUAGUAUUAUCGCAUGGUAGUGCUAUCAAAGGAGCAAUCCGCUGAAAGAUGGGCUCGCGUCCGAUUAGAUAGUUGGUGGGGUAACGGCCUACCAAGUCGACGAUCGGUAGCCGGACUGAGAGGUUGAACGGCCACAUUGGGACUGAGACACGGCCCAGACUCCUACGGGAGGCAGCAGUGGGGAAUAUUGCACAAUGGGCGCAAGCCUGAUGCAGCAACGCCGCGUGAGGGAAGACGGUUUUCGGAUUGUAAACCUCUGUCCUUGGUGACGAAGAAUGACGGUAGCCGAGGAGGAAGCCACGGCUAACUACGUGCCAGCAGCUGC
RNAcentral lists this ribosomal RNA (463 nucleotides) under uncultured bacterium. RNAcentral describes it as "bacterial SSU rRNA". It matches the Rfam family "Bacterial small subunit ribosomal RNA", at positions 57 to 518 of the family's 1533-position model. The record is from RNAcentral.